RNAcentral lists this ribosomal RNA (443 nucleotides) under uncultured bacterium. Its description in RNAcentral is "partial 16S ribosomal RNA". It matches the Rfam family "Bacterial small subunit ribosomal RNA", at positions 338 to 795 of the family's 1533-position model. The record is from RNAcentral.
CCUACGGGGCGCAGCAGUGGGGAAUAUUGGGCAAUGGGCGCAAGCCUGACCCAGCAACGCCGCGUGAAGGAAGAAGGCUUUCGGGUUGUAAACUUCUUUUCUCAGGGACGAAGCAAGUGACGGUACCUGAGGAAUAAGCCACGUCUAACUACGUGUCAGCAGCCGCGGUAAUACGUAGGUGGCAAGCGUUAUCCGGAUUUACUGGGUGUAAAGGGCGUGUAGGCGGGAAAGCAAGUCAGAUGGGAAAACCAUGGGCUCAACCUGUGGCCUGCAUUUGAAACUGUUUUUCUUGAGUGCUGGAGAGGCAGGCGGAAUUGCUAGUGUAGCGGUGAAAUGCGUAGAUAUUAGGAGGAACACCAGUGGCGAAGGCGGUCUGCUGGACAGCAACUGACGCUGAGGCGCGAAAGCGUGGGGAGCAAACAGGAUUAGAUACCCCAGUAGUC